UACGUAGGGGGCGAGCGUUGUCCGAAGUCACUGGGCGUAAAGCGCGCGUAGGCGGGCCGAUAAGUGGGAAGUGAAAGGCUGGGGCUCAACCCCAUGCAGUGCUUCUCAUACUGUUGGUCUUGAGGUCGGCAGGGAGAAGUGGAAUGGCUGGUGUAGCGGUGAAAUGCGUAGAUAUCAGUCGGAACACCGGUGGCGAAGGCGGCUUCUUGGGCCGCACCUGACGCUGAGGCGCGAAAGCCAGGGUAGCGAACGGG
RNAcentral lists this ribosomal RNA (254 nucleotides) under uncultured Armatimonadota bacterium. RNAcentral's name for it is "uncultured Armatimonadetes bacterium partial 16S ribosomal RNA". It matches the Rfam family "Bacterial small subunit ribosomal RNA", at positions 524 to 776 of the family's 1533-position model. The record is from RNAcentral. Lineage: Bacteria; Bacillati; Armatimonadota.